AUUGAACGCUGGCGGCAGGCUUAACACAUGCAAGUCGAGCGGGGUGAUGGUGCUUGCACUAUCACUUAGCGGCGGACGGGUGAGUAAUGCUUAGGAAUCUGCCUAUUAGUGGGGGACAACAUCUCGAAAGGGAUGCUAAUACCGCAUACGUCCUACGGGAGAAAGCAGGGGAUCACUUGUGACCUUGCGCUAAUAGAUGAGCCUAAGUCGGAUUAGCUAGUUGGUGGGGGAAAGGCCUACCAAGGCGACGAUCUGUAGCGGGUCUGAGAGGAUGAUCCGCCACACUGGGACUGAGACACGGCCCAGAGUCCUACGGGAGGCAGCAGUGGGGAAUAUUGGACAAUGGGGGGAACCCUGAUCCAGCCAUGCCGCGUGCGUGAAGAAGGCCUUAUGGUUGUAAAGCACUUUAAGCGAGGAGGAGGCUCUUUUGGUUAAUACCCAAGAUGAGUGGACGUUACUCGCAGAAUAAGCACCGGCUAACUCUGUGCCAGCAGCCGCCGUAA
This 503-nucleotide ribosomal RNA is filed under the name uncultured bacterium. RNAcentral describes it as "partial 16S ribosomal RNA". It matches the Rfam family "Bacterial small subunit ribosomal RNA", at positions 30 to 523 of the family's 1533-position model. The record is from RNAcentral.